RNAcentral lists this microRNA precursor (102 nucleotides) under Marmota monax (woodchuck). The record is from RNAcentral. Lineage: Eukaryota; Metazoa; Chordata; Mammalia; Rodentia; Sciuridae.
AGUCAAAUAGCUGGAUCAUAUAGUCACCACUGUUCAAAUUUUUGAAGAAGUGCCCAACUGUUCUCCAAAGUGGUUAUGCCAUGUUAUAUUUCCACCAACAAU